UGUGCCAAUGAUGUCUCGAAAAUCAAGUUUGAGUUUUGAAAGACUAUGGAAAUACUCCAUGCACUACCAUCUGAGGCGCA
Molecule: small nucleolar RNA, 80 nt
Organism: Hippocampus zosterae (dwarf seahorse)
Lineage: Eukaryota; Metazoa; Chordata; Actinopteri; Syngnathiformes; Syngnathidae
Source: RefSeq, a predicted model, not a curated record